This 358-nucleotide long non-coding RNA is filed under the name Erythranthe guttata (spotted monkey flower). RNAcentral describes it as "long non-coding RNA (EGUT_LNC003574)". The record is from RNAcentral. Lineage: Eukaryota; Viridiplantae; Streptophyta; Magnoliopsida; Lamiales; Phrymaceae.
UGUUUGUUGUCAUUUGAGGGUUGGUGGUGGUUGUGUGUCCAUUUGCGUUGAAAAAAAUAUAUACUUGUUUUUGAAUGGGGAUUGCUCCAGAUCUGUUAGAGAGAGAAAGAGAGAAUGGGGUUUUAGUGAUAGAAAUGGUGCUCCCUUUGCUUUAGUCUUUCUUUUCUGCUUCUUUCUCCCUUUGUCUAACUCUCAAGUUGAGGAGAGACAAUUAUAGUGCGUACUCCACUUUUUCUUUUUUCUUUUUUCUUUUUUCUUUUUUUUUUUGCUGUGAAAGCUUUUGCUUUUUUGCUUUCUUGAGGGUGUGGAAUAAGCUUUAGGAUUACCCUUCUUUUGCUCUUCAGUCGUGCACAUUUCA